AUUGAACGCUGGCGGCAGGCCUAACACAUGCAAGUCGAGCGGAUGAAGGGAGCUUGCUCCUGGCUGCAGCGGCGGACGGGUGAGUAAUGCCUAGGAAUCUGCCUGGUCGUGGGGGAUAACGUCCGGUAACGGGCGCUAAUACCGCAUACGUCCUGAUGGAGAAAGUGGGGGAUCUUCGGACCUCACGCUAUCAGAUGAGCCUAGGUCGGAUUAGCUAGUUGGUGGGGUAAAGGCCUACCAAGGCGACGAUCCGUAACUGGCCUGAGAGGCUGAUCAGUCACACUGGAACUGAGACACGGUCCAGACUCCUACGGGAGGCAGCAGUGGGGAAUAUUGGACAAUGGGCGAAAGCCUGAUCCAGCCACGCCGCGUGUGUGAAGAAGGUCUUCGGAUUGUAAAGCACUUUAAGUUGGGAGGAAGGGCAGUAAGUUAAUACCUUGCUGUUUUGACGUUACCAACAGAAUAAGCACCGGCUAACUACGUG
This 484-nucleotide ribosomal RNA is filed under the name uncultured bacterium. Its description in RNAcentral is "partial 16S ribosomal RNA". It matches the Rfam family "Bacterial small subunit ribosomal RNA", at positions 30 to 507 of the family's 1533-position model. The record is from RNAcentral.